This 464-nucleotide ribosomal RNA is filed under the name uncultured bacterium. RNAcentral describes it as "partial 16S ribosomal RNA". It matches the Rfam family "Bacterial small subunit ribosomal RNA", at positions 339 to 795 of the family's 1533-position model. The record is from RNAcentral.
CUACGGGGGGCUCCAGUGGGGAAUAUUGCACAAUGGGCGCAAGCCUGAUUCAGCCAUGCCGCGUGUAUGAAGAAGGCCUUCGGGUUGUAAAGUACUUUCAGCGGGGAGGAAGGGAGUAAAGUUAAUACCUCUGCUCAUUGACGUUACCCGCAGAAGAAGCACCGGCUAACUCCGUGCCAGCAGCCGCGGUAAUACGGAGGGUGCAAGCGUUAAUCGGAAUUACUGGGCGUAAAGCGCACGCAGGCGGUUUGUUAAGUCAGAUGUGAAAUCCCCGGGCUCAACCUGGGAACUGCAUCUGAUACUGGCAAGCUUGAGUCUCGUAGAGGGGGGUAGAAUUCCAGGUGUAGCGGUGAAAUGCGUAGAGAUCUGGAGGAAUACCGGUGGCGAAGGCGGCCCCCUGGACGAAGACUGACGCUCAGGUGCGAAAGCGUGGGGAGCAAACAGGAUUAGAUACCCUUGUAGUC